This 649-nucleotide ribosomal RNA is filed under the name uncultured bacterium. Its description in RNAcentral is "bacterial SSU rRNA". It matches the Rfam family "Bacterial small subunit ribosomal RNA", at positions 93 to 740 of the family's 1533-position model. The record is from RNAcentral.
GAGCGGCGAACGGGUGAGUAAUGCUUCGGAAUCUGCCCUGUAGUGGGGAAUAACCAGCCGAAAGGUUGGCUAAUACCGCAUACGAAACGGUUGAAAGCGGGGGAUCGCAAGACCUCGCGCUAUAGGAUGAGCCGAAGUCGGAUUAGCUUGUUGGCAGGGUAACGGCCUACCAAGGCGACAAUCCGUAGCUGGUCUGAGAGGACGACCAGCCACACUGGGACUGAGACACGGCCCAGACUCCUACGGGAGGCAGCAGUGGGGAAUAUUGGACAAUGGGGGCAACCCUGAUCCAGCGACGCCGCGUGUGUGAAGAAGGCCUGCGGGUUGUAAAGCACUUUUAGUGGGGAUGAAAAGUUCGGGGCUAAUAAUCCCGGAUCUUGACCUAACCCAAAGAAAAAGCACCGGCUAACUCUGUGCCAGCAGCCGCGGUAAUACAGAGGGUGCAAGCGUUAAUCGGAAUUACUGGGCGUAAAGCGUGCGUAGACGGUCAUGUAAGUCGGGUGUGAAAGCCCCGGGCUCAACCUGGGAAUUGCAUUCGAGACUGCAUGGCUAGGAUGCGGAAGAGGGAAGCGGAAUUUCCGGUGUAGCGGUGAAAUGCGUAGAUAUCGGAAGGAACACCAGUGGCGAAAGCGGCUUCCUGGUCCAGCAU